This 278-nucleotide unclassified non-coding RNA is filed under the name Hevea brasiliensis (rubber tree). The record is from RNAcentral. Lineage: Eukaryota; Viridiplantae; Streptophyta; Magnoliopsida; Malpighiales; Euphorbiaceae.
GGGCGAUGGUGUCAACAGUCCAGUUAUAGUGAGCACAUCCAACUCCAAGAGAUCCAUUAGUGCAAACUUCGAAAGUAUGCUUUCCAUCAAGCAAUUGCGUGUAAGAAACUUCUCCACCUUCACAAACUACAGGCACAUAAUCAUCCAACUUACAACUAGUUGAACAAUCCGCACAAAUGUCACCAUUACCACCAGCCAAAACUUGAAAAGCAAAAUUCGCAAAAUUCCGGUUUGUGAAUUCACGAGGAGUAGUCAAUAACUUUAAAGUAACGUCUGAG